RNAcentral lists this ribosomal RNA (520 nucleotides) under uncultured bacterium. RNAcentral's name for it is "bacterial SSU rRNA". It matches the Rfam family "Bacterial small subunit ribosomal RNA", at positions 26 to 518 of the family's 1533-position model. The record is from RNAcentral.
AGGACGAACGCUGGCGGCGUGCCUAAUACAUGCAAGUCGAACGGUCUUUCUAUGGAAGCUUGCUUCCACUGAGAAGAUAGUGGCGAACGGGUGAGUAACACGUGGGUAACCUGCCCAUAAGAGGGGGGAUAACAUCCGGAAACGGGUGCUAAUACCGCAUAGUUUUCUUGAUCGCAUGAUCGGGAAGGGAAAGACGGCCUUUGUGCUGUCGCUUAUGGAUGGACCCGCGGCGUAUUAGUUAGUUGGUGAGGUAACGGCUCACCAAGACGAUGAUACGUAGCCGACCUGAGAGGGUGAUCGGCCACAUUGGGACUGAGACACGGCCCAAACUCCUACGGGAGGCGGCAGUAGGGAAUCUUCCGCAAUGGACGAAAGUCUGACGGAGCAACGCCGCGUGAGUGAAAGAAGGUUUUCGGAUCGUAAAACUCUGUUGUCAGAGAAGAACAAGUUGGAGAGUAACUGCUCCAGCCUUGACGGUAUCUGACCAGAAAGCCACGGCUAACUACGUGCCAGCCGCCGC